GAUGAACGCUGACAGAAUGCUUAACACAUGCAAGUCAACUUGAAUUUGGGUUUUUUAACUUAGAUUUGGGUGGCGGACGGGUGAGUAACGCGUAAAGAACUUGCCUCACAGCUAGGGACAACAUUUGGAAACGAAUGCUAAUACCUGAUAUUAUGAUUAUAAGGCAUCUUAGAAUUAUGAAAGCUAUAUGCGCUGUGAGAGAGCUUUGCGUCCCAUUAGCUAGUUGGAGAGGUAACGGCUCACCAAGGCGAUGAUGGGUAGCCGGCCUGAGAGGGUGAACGGCCAAAAGGGGACUGAGACACGGCCCUUACUCCUACGGGAGGCAGCAGUGGGGAAUAUUGGACAAUGGACCAAGAGUCUGAUCCAGCAAUUCUGUGUGCACGAUGACGUUUUUCGGAAUGUAAAGUGCUUUCAGUUGGGAAGAAAAAAAUGACGGUACCAACAGAAGAAGUGACGGCUAAAUACGUG
This 468-nucleotide ribosomal RNA is filed under the name uncultured bacterium. RNAcentral's name for it is "partial 16S ribosomal RNA". It matches the Rfam family "Bacterial small subunit ribosomal RNA", at positions 28 to 507 of the family's 1533-position model. The record is from RNAcentral.